Paramacrobiotus metropolitanus is the source of this 694-nucleotide long non-coding RNA. RefSeq lists it as uncharacterized. The transcript is spliced from 3 exons. The record is from RefSeq and is a predicted model, not a curated record. Lineage: Eukaryota; Metazoa; Tardigrada; Eutardigrada; Parachela; Macrobiotidae.
UAAAACAACGAGAAGUAGGGAAGGCGGUAUAUAAGUGCAGCCAGGCAUCGGUCAAAAUCAUAUCGUGAGAAAAUCAAUCUGAAAUCUGGUAUUCAGAAGAGAUAUUGAGCGAUAACAAGGAGUUGACCGAAUCGUGGUAACUACAGCCUACAGGUAAAGUUUACUCGCUACAAUGUACACCAGCUCGAUUUCUGUGAUUUGCGCGGUUCUGUUGGUCGCCCAGUUGGCCACUGUCGCCUUGGCAGAAAACGAAGCCGCGGCCGAGGAGUUCAACCUGUUGCGUGCCAAACGUGGUAGCAUCGACUUCUGGUGCACUAUCGGAUGUGGAGCCUACUGGACCUGCGUGUUUGGCAACAAAGGCAACGCCAGCAAAUGCGGCUCGCAGCCAUCGAGAUGCCAGUGUAACGGUUUCGCUUGGCAGGGCGGGAAAUAAAUGCCGAGACAGCGCAGAAAGAGCUACCAGUUUUUACCUAUGUAAAAGUUAGAAACUGACGCUUCGUAUGUACAGUGUACAUUAUUUUAAAUUGUUGCAGUUAUUUGCAGCUAUGUUUGCAUCGGAUUAACAUUAACGUUGCCUAAUCGACGUACGUAAUUGUUAUUUGCUCUUGUCGAUUUCACAGUAAAAAAAUUACUUUGUGUUGUUUUUGGCUGGCUGGACCUCGGCUCAUGAAAAAAUAGUUUAUUCAGAUCACAA